UCUGCACAUACAAUUUUCUUUUAU
This 24-nucleotide non-coding RNA is filed under the name Cricetulus griseus (Chinese hamster). Lineage: Eukaryota; Metazoa; Chordata; Mammalia; Rodentia; Cricetidae. The record is from RNAcentral.